CCUACGGGGAGCAGCAGUGGGGGAUAUUGCACAAUGGGGGAAACCCUGAUGCAGCGACGCCGCGUGGGUGAAGAAGCGCCUCGGCGCGUAAAGCCCUGUCAGCAGGGAAGAAAAUGACGGUACCUGAAGAAGAAGCCCCGGCUAACUACGUGCCAGCAGCCGCGGUAAUACGUAGGGGGCAAGCGUUAUCCGGAUUUACUGGGUGUAAAGGGGGCGCAGACGGCGAUGCAAGCCAGGAGUGAAAGCCCGGGGCCUAACCCCGGGACUGCUCUGGGAACUGGGUGGCUAGAGUGCAGGAGGGGCAGGCGGAAUUCCUGGUGUAGCGGUGAAAUGCGUAGAUAUCAGGAAGAACACCAGUGGCGAAGGCGGCCUGCUGGACUGCAACUGACGUUGAGGCCCGAAAGCGUGGGGAGCAAACAGGAUUAGAUACCCUGGUAGUC
This 440-nucleotide ribosomal RNA is filed under the name uncultured bacterium. RNAcentral describes it as "partial 16S ribosomal RNA". It matches the Rfam family "Bacterial small subunit ribosomal RNA", at positions 338 to 795 of the family's 1533-position model. The record is from RNAcentral.